UACAGAGGGGGCAAGCGUUGUCCGGAAUUACUGGGCGUACAGCGCGCGCAGGCGGUUGCCGACGUGCCGUGUGACAAACGGGGCUCAACCCCCGAGGGCCACGGUAAACGGGGCGACUGGAGGAAGGGAGAGGGAUGUGGAAUGCCCGGUGGGAGCGGUGAAGUGCGUAGAGAUCGGGCGGAACACCAGCGGCGAAGGCGGCAUCCUGGCCCUUACCUGACGCUGAGGCGCGAGAGCGU
Molecule: ribosomal RNA, 239 nt
Filed under: uncultured bacterium
Lineage: Bacteria
Description: partial 16S ribosomal RNA
Rfam family: Bacterial small subunit ribosomal RNA
Source: RNAcentral